AGUACUCACACCAGUAAUUCAGGGAGCUUCU
RNAcentral lists this non-coding RNA (31 nucleotides) under Homo sapiens (human). The record is from RNAcentral. Lineage: Eukaryota; Metazoa; Chordata; Mammalia; Primates; Hominidae.